Molecule: long non-coding RNA, 4315 nt
Filed under: Marmota monax (woodchuck)
Lineage: Eukaryota; Metazoa; Chordata; Mammalia; Rodentia; Sciuridae
Source: RNAcentral
GGGAUGUAGCUCAGUGGUAAAUUGCCUCUGGGUUAUAUCCCCAGUAGCCCCCUCCAAAAUAAAUAAAUAAAUAAAGAGGUCUGGGAGGAGGCGAGUAGACAUAUAAAGUUGGAACCUGUCAGUACAGAGCAGGUGACUGAGGCCAUGGGGAGAAUGAGGCUACCUGGGUAGGUCCUGCAUAGGAGGAAGGACUCUGGAAAAGAAAGGAAAAUCUGGACCCAGAGGAAGACCAAAGGAGAAAGCAGAGACACAGAAAACGGAGCCCAGAAGACAGGCGGGAAAGGAACAGCCAGAAAAACAGGGUGAACUAGGAAUGUAGGGCUGGGGCUGGCUGAGCAUCUGCCUAGCCCGCACAAGGCCCUGGGUUCAUCCCCAACACCACAAAUACUACUACUACUGCUACUACUAGUAAUAAUAAUAAUGGUGAUUUGAAAACAAUAGCAAAGGUGAAUAAAUUUUGUGAAAAUUAUAGAAAAAGGGUCAAGAGUUUAAAAAGCCACUGAACAUUCAUACCCAGAAAGAAAUGAAUGCUGCCCAUCGGACUCAACGACACAGACGCUGUUUAUGACCGUAGCGAGAGCGGCUUCCGGGCUGCUGAACAAAGUCGACUGCCUUGGGUCAGGGAGUGAAUAAAAGGCAUACAGAUAUGUCUCCCCCUCCACAGUCCCUUCUAGGGCAGGCUGCCCUGUUCCUGAUCCCAUGGUCAUAAACAGCCACAGUGUGUGGGCAUGGACCCCAUGGUCAUGAGGCCAGUGACCGACUUGUCUCCUCCCUGGAAGAAGUUACUGGGCUAAUUGGGUUCCAUCUCUCUUGGGCAUCUGUCUGCUGAGUUGGGCUCAAGUCCUGAGGUGGACUGGAGCUGGACUGAUUAUUAUGGGAUGUACUAGAUGACUAAGUAGAGAGAGACCAUCAGAGAAAAGCAGAGAAAGAGACAAUGGAGAGGAGGCCUGGGGAGAGGAGAGGAGAGGCGAUGAGCCUCUGAUCUUGAUGGGAGGGAGGAGCUCCCUGGAAGUUUCCAUGAGGACAACCAUUCUUCAUCCUCUUGUUGAGAUUUGCACAGGACUGCAAGUGCCUCCUUCCAAGAAACAGCUCCCCUGAGCCAGCCCAGUGGGUCUCCAUGCCAAAGAAACUCAAGCAGAACAGGAAGGAGGAAGUAGAGGCAGUGGGUGUGGACAGCUCCGUCAAGCAGUUAGUUUUUCUUUCUUUCUUUUUCUUUUUUUUAUUUAUGCAGUUUGGUUUCUAGAGAGAAGAGAGAAAUGGGGCAGCAACCAUGGACUGAUAAGAGCCACUUAAAGAGAUUGUAAUGCUGCCAGAGAUAAAUCAAGAGAGAGGGAGGAGAUGGACCCAAGAGAGAUGGACAACUGAUAAUCCGGGCACUCAGAAGAGGUGGCUGACGCAUUGUCCUCAAAUAUCGACCCCAGUGCAUUGGGGUCUCGCUAGCAGAGUGGGUCUCCUCUCGGCUGCCUCUUCUGUUGGUACUUCCCUGGUCAGACAGGAGCCGCACUGACUCCUGCUCUGUCUUAAUUGAGCAUGUCUCUCUAAUUAGGCUGACAGCAGUUGGUUUCAGUGCAUGAUAAAUCAUGUCAGAUGCCUUUCGGACUUGCAAAGUCACUUCCAGGAGGCAUUUCACCCCUGGAUGUGACGUACAGCUUCAAAGAUGGAACUGGCUAUGUUCUGUCUACUUCUAGUUGUAUUCUUUUGGUAUCUGUGCUCUAUGAUACAGUUCACUUCAAAAUGACAACCUCUGGUUUAACAAAUGCAUUUGGGGAACAAAUGGCAAUUUUCAUGUGUGAACAUGAUAGUAAACAAGGAAUGAAGGAUUGAUGUUAGAAAAUUUGCAACUUUAUUUAUUCUGAUUCCAAAGGAAACCCAUAGUAUCAAUCAGCUUUUCACUGAUGUGGCCAAAAUACACUGAGAACAACUUAGAGAAGAAAAAUGUUAUUUAGGCUCAUGGUUUCAGAGGUUCAGUCCAUGAUCAGAUGGCUCCAUGGCCCAGGAUGAGUCAGAACAUCACGGCAGAAAGGAGUGACAGAGGAAAUCUGCUCGACUCAUGGCAGCUAGGAAACUGAGCCAGGAGCCAGAGACAAAAACAUAACUCCUGGUCCUACUUCCUCCAGCCACGCUUCACCUGCCUAUAGCUACCGCCCAGUAAUCUACUCAAAUUAUUAAUCCAUCAAAUGGAUUAACCCACUGAUUAGGUUUUAGCUCUCAUAAUAUAAUCACUUUACCUCAGAACUUUCCUCCAUUUCCAUGUGAGCUUUUUGUGAGACAUCUCAUAUCCAACCAUAAAACCAACAGUUUCCCUUCAAAGUAUAUCAAAAAGUAGAAAUUUCAAAGUCAGUGCCAGGCUUGGUGGUACAUUCCUAUAAUCCCAGCAACUUGGAAAACCUAAGGACCUCAUUCAACUCCACUGAAACCUAAGAAAGAGGAAUUGUAAGUUCAAGACCAGCCUCAACAACUUAGAUCCUUAGCACUUAGUGAGAUACUGUCUCAAAAUAAAACAUGAGAAAGCUCUGGGACUAUAGCUCAGUGAUAAAGCAUCCUGGGUUCAAUCCCAAGUAUAAGGAAAAAAGAAAAAGAAAAUAAGAAAAAAGAAUUUCAAAGUCCAAGUUUCUGUAUUUCAUUUCCAGAGGGAAAAUCUGUUUAUAAUUUGAUGUAUUUCUCAGACCUGAGUAUUCACAUAUGACAUACACAGAUGGACCCAUGUGACGUCUACAUACAUAUGAACAUAAAUCCUGUUAAGUCCUCUCUAAAGUAUGUUUCUCAUUUAACAAUACUUAAAAUGGAAUAUGACCUGAUAUAAAGUAUAUGUGCAUAGAAAAAAGAACAAAGGGAAAAUUAUAUAGUAUUAACCAUAAUCCUGGGGUGUUAAUAUUAUAGAAGAAUUUUUUUUUUCAGCUGGGUGUGGUGGCGCACGCCUGUAAUCCCAGCAGCUCUGGAGGCUGAGACAGGAGCAUCUCGAAUUCAAAACCAGCCUCAGCAAAAGCAAGAUGCUAAGCAACUCAGUGAGACCCUAUCUCUAAGUAAAAUACAAAACAGGGCUGAGGAUGUGGCUCAGUGGUUGAGUGCCCCGGAGUUCAAUCCCCAGGACCAAAAAAUAAAAAAGAAUUUUUUUCUUUACAUGUUUUCUUGCCGCCUUGAUUUUCUGCAAUGGAACUAUAUAUAUUACUUUGGGGUUUUGGUGGUUUUUUUGUUUGUUUUGGGAUUGAACCCAGAGGUGCUUUACCACUGAGCUACAGCCCAAGCUUAUUUAUUUAUUUAUUGAGUUAGGGUCUUGCUAAGUUGCUGAGAUUGGCCUUGAAUUUGCAAUGUUCAUGUCUCAGCUUCCUGAGUCGCUGGGAUAACAGGUAUGAGUAUAUUACUGGCAAGUAUAUUACUUUUAAAAUAUAUAUUUAAAAUAUACAUUAAAAUAUACAUCUUAAAAUAUACAUAUAUUGUACAUAAAUAUAUAUGCAUAAUCUGUUUAAUCAUGUGUACAUGUAUACAUGCAUAUGUAUAAUAUAUCUAUGCAUAUAUGUACCUGUACAUACUUGAAAAAGAGAGACAAAACCUGAGCUACACUGGCGAGUUUCUCAUUUGAACCAUUGUUUCUGUUCUGUUAACGUUGAUGUCACUAUAGAAUUCCAUCAAGAUCUGCGGUGAAGUGCGGGCCCCAGGCCUCAGAAACCAAGCCUCCUCUCCAUGUUGCUGCACAGGGCUGGUGACCUCAUUCACACUCCAUUGACACACACCAUCUUGCAAGAAGAGUCCCCACAGCAGGUGGCAGUGAUUCAAGGUGGUGGUGGUGGGGGUUGUGUCACAGACUCAAGUGACCCUGCUAAAUAAACCAAGGAUUAACACUUGUGAGUCAGAAAGAGAAGGAAUGUGAGUCAGCAGUGUAUUGAUUCAGAUGAUCACAGUUAACCAAAGCUCGACAUGAAACAAAUUUUAAAACACAUUGGUCCACACACUGAAAAGUCCAAGGCGGGGUAUCUGUGAUGGUUCGGGAAUGGUUUGGGUUCCAAAGGCUGACGCGCUGGAAGCUUGGUCCCCAGUGUGGCAACAUUGAGAGAUGGUGGAACCACACUCAGAAGUGCGGCCCACUGCAAGGUAUUCAGGUCAUGGGGCACAGCCCUCGAUCUCAGAAGAGAUUAAUACUGGUCUUGCACAGUGAGUUAGCUAUCAUGGGUUGUUAUAAAGUGAGACCAGGGGCUGGGGAUGUGGCUCAAGUGGUAGCGCGCUCUCCUGGCAUGCAGGCGGCCCAGGUUCGAUCCUCAGCACCACAUAUGAACAAAGAUGUUGUGUCUGCUGAAAACUAAAAAAUAAAUAUUAAAAU